AAGAUAGGCAUGCGUCCCAUUAGCUGGUUGGUGAGGUAACGGCUCACCAAGGCAACGAUGGGUAGGGGAACUGAGAGGUUUAUCCCCCACACUGGUACUGAGACACGGACCAGACUCCUACGGGAGGCAGCAGUGAGGAAUAUUGGUCAAUGGGCGAGAGCCUGAACCAGCCAAGUCGCGUGAAGGAAGACUGUCCUAAGGAUUGUAAACUUCUUUUAUACGGGAAUAACGGGCGAUACGCGUAUUGCUGUGAAUGUACCGUAAGAAUAAGCAUCGGCUAACUCCGUGCCAGCAGCCGCGGUAAUACGGAGGAUGCGAGCGUUAUCCGGAUUUAUUGGGUUUAAAGGGUGCGUAGGUUGUUCGGUAAGUCAGCGGUGAAAACUGAGCGCUCAACGUUCAGCGUGCCGUUGAAACUGCCGGGCUUGAGUUCAGAGGCGGCAGGCGGAAUUCGUGGUGUAGCGGUGAAAUGCAUAGAUAUCACGAGGAACUCCGAUUGCGAAGGCAGCUUGCCAUACUGCGACUGACACUGAAGCACGAAGGCGUGGGUAUCAAACAGGAUUAGAUACCCUGGUAGUCCACGCAGUAAACGAUGAUUACUAGGAGUUUGCGAUAUACCGUCAAGCUUCCACAGCGAAAGCGUUAAGUAAUCCACCUGGGGAGUACGCCGGCAACGGUGAAACUCAAAGGAAUUGACGGGGGCCCGCACAAGCGGAGGAACAUGUGGUUUAAUUCGAUGAUACGCGAGGAACCUUACCCGGGAUUGAAAUGUAGACGACGGAUGGUGAAAGCCGUCUUCCCUUCGGGGCGUCUAUGUAGGUGCUGCAUGGUUGUCGUCAGCUCGUGCCGUGAGGUGUCGGCUUAAGUGCCAUAACGAGCGCAACCCACAUCGGUAGUUGCUAACAGGUUUAGCUGAGGACUCUACCGAGACUGCCGUCGUAAGGCGUGAGGAAGGUGUGGAUGACGUCAAAUCAGCACGGCCCUUACAUCCGGGGCGACACACGUGUUACAAUGGGAGGGACAAAGGGCAGCUACCGGGCGACCGGAUGCGAAUCUCGAAACCCUUCCCCAGUUCGGAUCGGAGUCUGCAACUCGACUCCGUGAAGCUGGAUUCGCUAGUAAUCGCGCAUCAGCCAUGGCGCGGUGAAUACGUUCCCGGGCCUUGUACACACCGCCCGUCAAGCCAUGGGAGUCGGGGGUACCUGAAGGGCGUAACCGCAAGGG
This 1221-nucleotide ribosomal RNA is filed under the name Porphyromonas gulae. RNAcentral's name for it is "bacterial SSU rRNA". It matches the Rfam family "Bacterial small subunit ribosomal RNA", at positions 222 to 1451 of the family's 1533-position model. Lineage: Bacteria; Pseudomonadati; Bacteroidota; Bacteroidia; Bacteroidales; Porphyromonadaceae. The record is from RNAcentral.